RNAcentral lists this ribosomal RNA (253 nucleotides) under uncultured bacterium. RNAcentral describes it as "partial 16S ribosomal RNA". It matches the Rfam family "Bacterial small subunit ribosomal RNA", at positions 524 to 776 of the family's 1533-position model. The record is from RNAcentral.
UACGUAGGGUGCAAGCGUUGUCCGGAAUCAUUGGGCGUAAAGCGCGCGUAGGUGGUCAUGUAAGUCCGCUGUGAAAGUCAAAGGCUCAACCUUUGAAAGCCGGUGGAUACUGCAUGACUAGAGUACGGAAGAGGCGAGUGGAAUUCCUGGUGUAGCGGUGGAAUGCGCAGAUAUCAGGAGGAACACCGGUGGCGAAGGCGGGUCUCUGGGCAGUAACUGACGCUGAGGAGCGAAAGCGUGGGGAGCGAACAGG